UACGUAGGCACCAAGCGUUGUUCGGAAUUACUGGGCGUAAAGCGAGUGUAGGCGGUCUGCCAAGUCCUCUGUGAAAUCUCCCGGCUCAACUGGGAGGGUGCGGCGGAAACUGGCGGGCUCGAGUACGAGAGGGGAGAGUGGAAUUCCUGGUGUAGCGGUGAAAUGCGUAGAUAUCAGGAGGAACACCGGUGGUGAAGACGGCUCUCUGGAUCGUCACUGACGCUGAGACUCGAAAGCGUGGGUAGCAAACAGG
This 253-nucleotide unclassified non-coding RNA is filed under the name uncultured Bryobacterales bacterium. Its description in RNAcentral is "contains 16S-23S intergenic spacer region". It matches the Rfam family "Bacterial small subunit ribosomal RNA", at positions 524 to 776 of the family's 1533-position model. Lineage: Bacteria; Pseudomonadati; Acidobacteriota; Terriglobia; Bryobacterales. The record is from RNAcentral.